This 1084-nucleotide long non-coding RNA is filed under the name Anas platyrhynchos platyrhynchos (common mallard). RNAcentral's name for it is "lncRNA (ENSAPLG00000018085.1)". The record is from RNAcentral. Lineage: Eukaryota; Metazoa; Chordata; Aves; Anseriformes; Anatidae.
AUGUUAGCUAGUUGUGCUGGCCACUUGGAUGUCAUUGAGUACCUGAGAUCACAAAGUGCUUCUUGGGAAGCCAGACUUCUGGAGGUCCUGUACUCGGCUGCAGAUGGAGGACCUUUUCCCAUUACUGAAUGGAUAAUUAAUGACAGCUGUAAGGUGCCACUACUGCCAGUUGUCAAUUCGUCUUUGUUUUAAGCAAUGAAGUGGACAAGUUGCCAGAAAAAAGUAAGUUAUUUGAACACUUUACAAAAGGAGGCUUCUAUAAGUGUCACAGAAAAGUUUUGCCUUACUGGGGAAUAUAUUAGGACCUCUCUGUGACAUUACUGACUGCUUUUUAUGUAUAGAUAGCUUUAGAAGAAGGAAAAGGUUCAUAAUACUAGGAUAGGCUUUCCUCUGUUCCAUUUUUUUAGGUCAUUUUAAAAUCAGAAAAUAUUUCUAGCAUUCCUUCUACUUCAAGAUAGUAUCUGCAAAGAAAAGGAAUAUACUGAUAUUCUGUUAACUCAGCAUUUUGAAAAUAAUAACAAUUGAAAUCUCCAAAAGAAGCUACUGAAAAUUAUGGAACUUAGUUUUCUUUUUGUUCUUUAUGUGCUGUGGACUUUAAAAUACAGCAGCUCAGGCAGUUGUCAAAGGUGGGCAGAACGGGGUGCAAUUUCACAGUGGUAGUGAGCCCAGAGCAGGAAAUGAGGACGAAAGAAGUCAGAAGAAUGGGUGAAACUGGGAUGGGGUCAUGGGCAUCGGGAUGGAGGCAAAAGUUGCUUUGGAUGUGAUGGAGCUGAGAUGCUCCACCUGUGACACUGAUAAUCAAAUGCAUGUUUUGUAUUCUACCCACUGUUUCAGGAAGCGUAUCUAUUGCUGCUGCUUCUGAUGAAAAAGAAUGGUCAAGUAAAGAGUCGCAGAUUCCAUAAGGUAUGAUUUCUGUUUUCAGAGUUUUCAAAGUAGUUUAAGAUGUCUUUAAGUCAAGUAACAUCACCAUUGCAAAGUCAAGCAUUGAAAAAUGCAGAAUUAAUGUUGUCCUCUCCCCCCCUCCCUUUUUUUUUUAAUGGCCCAUUUCUCCAAAUAAAGCAUUAUCUAGUGUAUUACCUAAUCA